Pseudooctadecabacter jejudonensis is the source of this 93-nucleotide regulatory RNA element. It matches the Rfam family "Rhodo-rpoB RNA". The record is from Rfam. Lineage: Bacteria; Pseudomonadati; Pseudomonadota; Alphaproteobacteria; Rhodobacterales; Paracoccaceae.
GGGUCGAGGGCCGCGCUUUGGGUCGCGCGGCGAGAAUGGACCCCCUUUUUGCUGUCUCGUAUGGCCGCAGGUCAGUCGCCCAACUGCCCUGCA